This 643-nucleotide long non-coding RNA is filed under the name Homo sapiens (human). RNAcentral describes it as "non-protein coding lnc-ANKRD20A4-17:1". The record is from RNAcentral. Lineage: Eukaryota; Metazoa; Chordata; Mammalia; Primates; Hominidae.
GGACCAGGGCUAGGGCCAGGGCCAGGGCCAGGCCAUAGUGAGGGCAGGGCAAAAGCCAAGGCAGGGUCAGGGCAGGUCCAGGGCAGGUCCAGGAAGCGGCCAGCACCAAGCGGGGCCAAGGCACAACCAGCGCAGGGUAAGGCAGGGCAAUGGCACCACUGGGCCAUGACAGGGCCAGGUCAGUGCCAGGAGAGGGCAGAACAGGAAGGCCCAUGGUGGGGCCAGGGCAGGGAUGGGCCAAAGCAGAGCCAGGACAUUUCCAAGGCCAGGUCAGGGCCAGAACAGGAGCAGGACCAUGACCACUGGCAGGGCCAGUGCCAUGACAGGACCAGGGUCAGGACAAGGGGCAGGGCCAGAGCCAGGGCCAGAGCCAAGGUCAGGCCAGUGCAGGUUCAGGGCAGGGCCAGUGCCAGGGCAAGACCAGGGCAGGGACAGGGUAGCACGGGGCCAAGACAGGGUCAGGAUGGGACCAGAGCAGGACAGGGCUGAGAGUCCAGGUAACAGUAGGGCAGGUACAGGGCAAGGCAGGGCAGUACAGGGCCAGAUCCACGGCAGGCACAGGGCAAAGCCAGGCCCAUUGCCAAUGCACCAGCCCUCCCUACAAGGCUCCUACCACCUGGCCACUGCUGCAGCCCGUCCAUCG